Vicia faba (fava bean) is the source of this 234-nucleotide non-coding RNA. Lineage: Eukaryota; Viridiplantae; Streptophyta; Magnoliopsida; Fabales; Fabaceae. The record is from the annotation of a GenBank genome assembly.
AUGAUUGUGCAGCAGAUGAAGAGGGAAGUAACUAGAACUAUGUUGGAAGCAAUUGUGAAUAGAUGGUGGAAGAGAACUAUGAUGAAAAUAGUUAUGGUUGGUUCAGCGAAAUUUCUCGACCGAGAAGCUAUUGAGAAGAGCAAAGCCAAGCUUGGUAUAAGGAGAUGCAAGACACCGACUCUCCAAAUGCUGAUAUACAAGUGUUUGGUAGUCGCAAUCGAUUGGAGGUUUUAG